RNAcentral lists this long non-coding RNA (684 nucleotides) under Phascolarctos cinereus (koala). RNAcentral describes it as "lncRNA (ENSPCIG00000032516.1)". Lineage: Eukaryota; Metazoa; Chordata; Mammalia; Diprotodontia; Phascolarctidae. The record is from RNAcentral.
CAUUGCUGAAAAAUUUAUCACUGUGUGGCCCAUGUAGUGAUGAAUCUCUCUGUUCUUUGGACAACCAACAUAUAGUUUGUCACCAGGCCUUUCCAUAUUGAUAGCACUUGUAAAAUCUUAUAUCUCUUUGGUACAAACUUCUAGAGCCUAGGUUUGUUGCUCUAUCAUGUUGAGGCACCUGAGUUGAAGUAUUGAAAAAGUAUAAAAUAUGAUAUAAUAAUGUUAUUAUGAUUAUACAUGCAACUCAAGGAUUUUAAUUCAUAGCAUGUGAAUUGUUUUUUUUUUCUUUCCAGCACUGCAUAGAGUCCCUGUUGGAGGAUUAUUUUGGGUUUAUUGGACUAAUGUCCAUGCUGUGGAUCUCUUCUUUCUGAGAAAGGAAAAAGCUGAGCUGAGUAAUAUCAUUGCAGCAGAGCAGCAAGUAGAAAACCUCUUGAUAUCCUACAACAUUUUGGAGCAGCCUCUUUAUUUAUAAAGAAUAGCAGACUUUGGAGAGUCACUGAAAAGGUUGUAAUCACCAAGCACAAGCAGCUGUGGAGGCCUGCCCCACUCUGAGGAACAGCAACUGCUCUCUGUCAGCACUCAAGGCCAAGGACACACCUCAGCCAUGUCCAGGGAGCAGGCUGCUCUGAGGGAUCUCAAGAUGCAUUUACCAAUCUCCUAGUUCAAAGACAGACUGUUCCAGAU